Molecule: small nucleolar RNA, 107 nt
Filed under: Oryza punctata
Lineage: Eukaryota; Viridiplantae; Streptophyta; Magnoliopsida; Poales; Poaceae
Description: Plant small nucleolar RNA R71
Rfam family: Plant small nucleolar RNA R71
About the family: R71 is a member of the C/D box family of snoRNAs containing the C (UGAUGA) and D (CUGA) box motifs. Multiple nearly identical copies of this snoRNA have been identified in Arabidopsis, and it is thought to function as a 2'-O-ribose methylation guide for 18S ribosomal RNA.
Source: Rfam by way of RNAcentral
AUCCCAUGUUGAGGACAGGCAGCAACAUAUUCCUGCAGUCUUUCCCAAGCUUCUGAGAUCGUCUCAUCUCUUGUUUGCUGAAAGUUGGAUAUCCUUCCACGAAGGGC